GACGAACGCUGGCGGCGUGCUUAACACAUGCAAGUCGAACGGAAAGGCCCUGCUUUUGUGGGGUGCUCGAGUGGCGAACGGGUGAGUAACACGUGAGUAACCCGCCCUUGACUUUGGGAUAACUUCAGGAAACUGGGGCUAAUACCGGAUAGGAGCUCCUGCUGCAUGGUGGGGGUUGGAAAGUUUCGGCGGUUGGGGAUGGACUCGAGGCUUAUCAGCUUGUUGGGGGGGUAGUGGCGUACCAAGGCUUUGACGGGUAGCCCGCCUGAGAGCGUGACCGGCCACAUUGCGACUGCGGUACGGCCCAGUCUCCUACGGGCGGCAGAGGUCGGAAAUAUUGCACAAUGGGCGGAAGCCUGAUGCGACAACGCCGCGUGCGUAAUGACGGCCUUCGGGUUGUAAACCGCUUUCGCCUGUGACGAAGCGUUAGUGACGGUAAUGAGUAAAGAAGCACCGGCUAACUACGUG
Molecule: ribosomal RNA, 468 nt
Filed under: uncultured bacterium
Lineage: Bacteria
Description: partial 16S ribosomal RNA
Rfam family: Bacterial small subunit ribosomal RNA
Source: RNAcentral